UGGCAUGGAUGAAAUAGGCCAGGAAUGUUUGCAUGCAUUACAACCUUAAUGCAGCUCUCUGUUGCACAAUUUAAGGGCAGAGCCCCUGGCGUCACAGUCCUUUGUGGACUGACCUUUAUCUCAGGUGCUGCGUAAUCUGGGGUAGAUAGAGCACUGAGUUGGAAAUCCAGGAUACACAGACUUCAUGAGGACCUUGCUGCUGAUACUUAGAUGUAAAGAAGGAAGAGUGCAAAGACAUCAGAUUGCAGGAAAAGGCAUGUCUGGGGACAUUCUUACUGGCAUAAUAUGCCAAUCAGGAUUCUAAGAGAAACCCAGUUUCCCUUCAGUGAAACCAUCACUAGGAUACCUACCAGGAGAUCCUUGUGCAACCCAAUGUCAUUGAUGUGAAGAGAAGGCACGCCUCUUUCCAUGAUGAAAUUCAAGCUGCGAGAUAUAUUUUUCAAGCAGAAUGUUUCCUGGAACUUCAGUAUACAGAACAAGAAUAAGCCAGCAGCUCCAGUUGGCAUGGUUGACUGAGCAAAGGGCAGAAAAAAGAGCCAGCUGGGUUUCUGGCCUCGAAGAAGUCUCCUCUCCCCUAGGGGCAGGCCCAAGUCUCCUUCCCACAUUCCUGGGUCAUCACCAAAAGGAUUGUGAAAAUCCCUGAGUAUUUUAUUCACAAGACUCUCAAACAUUUUAUACAUCUAUUCUGUAAAUGAAAUAAAAUCAAAUAAGAUCACACCAGAAAAAAAACUGAGUAAAACCGAAA
Molecule: long non-coding RNA, 745 nt
Organism: Mustela lutreola (European mink)
Lineage: Eukaryota; Metazoa; Chordata; Mammalia; Carnivora; Mustelidae
Exons: 5
Source: RefSeq, a predicted model, not a curated record